This 499-nucleotide ribosomal RNA is filed under the name uncultured bacterium. RNAcentral describes it as "bacterial SSU rRNA". It matches the Rfam family "Bacterial small subunit ribosomal RNA", at positions 28 to 507 of the family's 1533-position model. The record is from RNAcentral.
GACUAACGCUGGCGGCGUGCCUAACACAUGCAAGUCGAACGAGUUGUUUAGAGUAGCAAUAUUUGAACAGCAAGUGGCGAACGGGUGAGUAACACGUAGAUAAUCUGCCUUUCAGACGGGGAUAACUCAGGGAAACUUGUGCUAAUACCCGAUGAGACUACGAGGGGGGACCUUCGCAGCCAAAGGUGGGCGAAAGCUCACGCUGGAAGAUGAGUCUGCGUCCUAUCAGCUAGUUGGUGGGGUAAAAGCCUACCAAGGCGAAGACGGGUAGCCGGCCUGAGAGGGUGAACGGCCACACUGGGACUGAGACACGGCCCAGACUCCUACGGGAGGCAGCAGUGAGGAAUUUUCCGCAAUGGGCGCAAGCCUGACGGAGCGACGCCGCGUGAGGGAUGACGGCCUUCGGGUUGUAAACCUCUUUUAUUAAGGAAAAAGGCAAUCGUGCUAACACCACGGUUGUUUGAUGGUACUUAUUGAAUAAGCCCCGGCUAACUACGUG